This 1918-nucleotide long non-coding RNA is filed under the name Gallus gallus (chicken). Its description in RNAcentral is "lncRNA (ENSGALG00010015517.1)". Lineage: Eukaryota; Metazoa; Chordata; Aves; Galliformes; Phasianidae. The record is from RNAcentral.
AACAGCAAAUAGGAGGUGCUAAUUAGAGCUUGUGAACCUGGUCCUUCUCUGCAGAUCAUUCCUCUUGUACUGCUGAAAGCACUAGAUGAAGGGAUCAUCUAGUCUGAAAGAACCCUGAUCUAUUUCUCCAGCAAAAUAAAUCAAAAAGUUGUGGAAAGAAAAAAAAAAAUCAUAAACAGCCUCAUAAAUGGAAACUCAUUUUCCGGCCUCCUACCUGGAUUGCUCCCAAGUAGGGCAGAGUGUGUCUUGGAGAGAGAAAAGAAGUCUUGAUGCAUUUCUUGUCCAGCAAUAUAACUGGAAAAAAAAAAACAACUCUACUUUGCCAAACUGAUAGCGUAACAUAACAUAAUUGGCAGAAUGACUGUGAAGACAUAAGAAAAGGCACAACACCUGAGAAGACUUUGGCCAGUGGAGGAAUGCAUGCCAGAGCUGUGAAUUAAGAAUUCAGGAGUAACAGAAGAUAACGAACCACUGUUAAUUGGCAAUUAAUGAAAUUGAAUGGAAUUUCUCAACUGUUUGGUUGAGUUUCUUGAAUUUGUUCCUGAACCUUGAUAAUAUUGUCAUCUUAAAGUCUUCUUGUUUUCCUCAGUGGAGUCCCAGUCUGUCCUUAUAAGUCAACUGUUUCACCCACUUGAUAUUUUCAGUUACCCUUCUGGGACCUUUUCUAAGUCCAUUACAUCCUUUCUGAAGUGUGGAGGCCACAUGUGCAUUCAAUAUUCAAGAUUUGAUUAUGGCAACAUUUUAUGCAGUUGCAAAAUGAAAAACUUUGUUUCUGGUACCUUUCCUGAAUGGUGGCUAAUGAUCUGUUGGCUUUUUUGGCCACUGCUGCCUGUUUAGUUCACUGAUUUUAGAAGGCAGUUGUAGACAAUUCCAGUGUCCAGUUCUUGAGUUGUAACAGCCUCAAGUUGAGUGUCAUGUUGGUAUGGCCUAAAUUUCCCUACCUCUACACAAUGCAUUCUCAUACUUUUAUCUUAUCUACAUGGAAGGUCUUCUGCCACGUUUCAUCCAUGUUCCAGAGUUUAGUGACAUCCUACUUGAGCUACUUGCCGUAGGCAUGGCACUAACUACCUGAAAGAGUGUGAUAUUAUCCAUUGGGUGAUUACUUUUUCUCUCCUUUCUACAGAUCAUUGAUCAAGAUGAAUAAAACUGUUGUCUUCUGCCCACUUGAUCAUGCAUACCCUUUCCAUCCUCAGAAUUUUCCUUUAGUCUGUGUACUUUUCUCCUCUAUAAAAGAGGACUCCAGACUUGUGGCUGCUUGACUUCUUUAGUAGCAUAACUACGUAAAGCAAGAUCUAUGCAAAUUAUAGAUGUGUGACUUGUUCUAUUCAGUUCUGGAGAGUUCACUUUGUUUCUGUUGUGUUUGUGUACUACCUUUUCUGAUAAAUAAUUCAACAAAAACUCUGAAAACACAAUAAUUGAAGUACCUAAGGUAUACAUUCCUAGGAACAUUUAUAACUGAAAUGUAAUAUGAGUGUAAGAGGAUACCUUUAGAGGUUCCUAUUAGCAUUAAUAAGUUAAAGAGUAGUAUUUAUAGCAUGCUGUGGGGAUUAUAACUUCUUGCACACUUGGAAUAAACCUCAGUAAAAAGUAAAAUCUUUGAGGUAUAACAGAUAAUGUUUAGAGAGAAUAUUUAGAAUCAAAGAAUUGUCUGAGUUGGAAAAGACUUUAAAAGUCAUCAGGUUCACUCCUUAACCUCACCUACCUACUCCCAUCACUUAGCUGUGUCCCUUAAUGCCUCAUUUUGUAUACCAUAAUUGGUUCAGGCGCUUCUGCUGAAUUACAGUAAGCAACAGUUUAUAUUUCAUAAUGUGAUGUGGCUAGUGAAGAGUAAACAAUGUAAAAUAUGAAAUGUUAGCUCUGUUAAAGUUGAAAGAAGUUUCACUAUGAAGUGGAGCAACCAACUCGAUAGUCAGUGUUU